Molecule: ribosomal RNA, 465 nt
Filed under: uncultured bacterium
Lineage: Bacteria
Description: bacterial SSU rRNA
Rfam family: Bacterial small subunit ribosomal RNA
Source: RNAcentral
GGGCCCGCACAAGCGGUGGAGCAUGUGGUUUAAUUCGACGCAACGCGAAGAACCUUACCUGGGCUUGAACUGCAGUGGACCGGUGCAGAGAUGUGCCUUUUCGCAAGAACUGCUGCAGAGGUGCUGCAUGGCUGUCGUCAGCUCGUGUCGUGAGAUGUUGGGUUAAGUCCCGCAACGAGCGCAACCCUUACCCGUAGUUGCCAGCGCGUCAUGGCGGGAACUCUACGGGGACUGCCCGGGUUAACCGGGAGGAAGGUGGGGAUGAUGUCAAGUCCUCAUGGCCCUUAUGUCCAGGGCUACACACGUGCUACAAUGGGCGAUACAAACCGUUGCAAAGUCGCGAGAUGGAGCUAAUCGGAGAAAGUCGUCCUCAGUUCGGAUUGUAGUCUGCAACUCGACUACAUGAAGGUGGAAUCGCUAGUAAUCGUGUAUCAGAAUGAUACGGUGAAUACGUUCCCGGGCCUU